AACCUGCCCUUUGCACUGGGAUAGCCUCGGGAAACCGAGGUUAAUACCGGAUACUCCAUAUUUGUCGCAUGGCGAAUAUGGGGAAAAGGCUCCGGCGGCAAAGGAUGGGCCCGCGGCCUGUUAGCUAGUUGGUGGGGUAGUGGCCUACCAAGGCAAUGAUGGGUAGCCGGGUUGAGAGACCGACCGGCCAGAUUGGGACUGAGACACGGCCCAGACUCCUACGGGAGGCAGCAGUA
Molecule: ribosomal RNA, 236 nt
Filed under: uncultured Atopobium sp.
Lineage: Bacteria; Bacillati; Actinomycetota; Coriobacteriia; Coriobacteriales; Atopobiaceae
Description: partial 16S ribosomal RNA
Rfam family: Bacterial small subunit ribosomal RNA
Source: RNAcentral